UUCAGCAGUGGAUGUCUAGGCUCGCACAUCGAUGAAGAACGCUGCGAACUGCGAUACGUAAUGCGAAUUGCAGGAUUCAGUGAGUCAUCGAAAUUUUGAACGCAUAUUGCACUUUCGGGUUAUGCCUGGAAGUAUGCCUGUAUCAGUGUCCGUACAUCAAACUUG
Molecule: ribosomal RNA, 165 nt
Filed under: Pythium insidiosum
Lineage: Eukaryota; Oomycota; Peronosporomycetes; Pythiales; Pythiaceae
Description: 5.8S ribosomal RNA
Rfam family: 5.8S ribosomal RNA
About the family: 5.8S ribosomal RNA (5.8S rRNA) is a component of the large subunit of the eukaryotic ribosome.
Source: RNAcentral